AUGGGAAAGAGAGGCAGGAAGACUGUAAGAGCCAGCGGGGAUGAGGACACCAAGGAAACGGGGCCUUCCUGACACAACAGUACUGGUGCACAUAGGAACUCAGAGACUGUGACCCAGCUCCAAGCCAGAUGGACUCCCUCCAUACAUAUGGAGAACUCAUCUCCUCUACAGAGAGGCUAACACACAGAACAAGCACCUGCCCAUCUCUCAUCUUUACAGCAACAUGGAGUGCAAGUAUUUACUGGCUCACUCUCAGAAGGCCGCAGCACUGUUAGCAGCUCCACUUUUGAAGAGGACAGCAAUUAAAAGCCCCACGGAACUUGUGAGUUGUUAGCUUUGUGAAAGUGUUGAAUGCCUGUUCCUGUUAAACUCGCUGCUGUCACAGCACUGUGACUUCUUGGCCUGCUGGAUUCUCAGACUGGGAGAACAUGAGGACAUGCUUUCAUGUUCAACUAUGUGUCGAGCUGAGGCCCUGCACAGAACAGACCCCGUAAGCACUGCCCGAUGAAUUGCAUGGACUAGUUUUUAGGAAACAGCUUCCUGAAAACGUCUACUUCAAAUUCUGGAAAAUACAGAUCAACAUUGCCUUGACCUUGAGGUCUCUAUCCUUACCAGAAGGUCUGGCUCCUAACCCAAUUUCCAUUGUUAGUUGAUUACUUUCAAUAUUGAUGGAUAUUCACUUCCAGAAAACAUUACCAGUAACUUUUAUGAUAUCAUUGAUACUCACUACUCAACCCGAACUGACUAAACCACAAAAUGCAAAAGCAUGCACUUAAGUUCUUCAGGGAAGCCUUGGGACUAUUUUAGUACAGAUUUAGUGGAUGGUAACCUGAGUAAGAGUAAAUGAAACCUUAAUGUAGAUAGUUCUUUUCCUACCAGAGCUUGUAGCAGAUACAUCUUCAGAUGCUUAAAAAUCACACUUUAUUCUGCCAUAGCUCUAAUUAAGAAUUACCUUGAGUCAUAGUAACUUACAAAAACUAUUAUUUAUGUCAUAGAUUAUAUUUUAUUUUCUCCCUUGUUAAGGGGGAAGCAUGAAGAGCUGUUUACUUGGUUACAGAAAUGCCUACUCUAAUUAGUAAAUAAACUACUAUUAAAUUGUUAUUUAAAAAUUGUAGAAUCAUAGAAUGGUUGCAACAAACACCAGUAUGAAACGCGUGAUGGCACUAGAGGUUUAUAACUAGAAGGGGUGAGGUAUCCAGGCACUGGUUAUAACAGAAGAUGAAUCACCUAGUGCCGAGCAAUUCAAGAGUGGCCGAACAAUGAUGGUAUAUUCAUUUUCUUUAAAAACAUGCAUUUU
Non-coding RNA from Peromyscus maniculatus bairdii (prairie deer mouse), 1297 nucleotides. Lineage: Eukaryota; Metazoa; Chordata; Mammalia; Rodentia; Cricetidae. The record is from RefSeq and is a predicted model, not a curated record.